This 322-nucleotide ribosomal RNA is filed under the name uncultured Prevotella sp. RNAcentral describes it as "partial 16S ribosomal RNA". The record is from RNAcentral. Lineage: Bacteria; Pseudomonadati; Bacteroidota; Bacteroidia; Bacteroidales; Prevotellaceae.
GGAGUCUGGUCCGUGUCUCAGUACCAGUGUGGGGGACCUUCCUCUCAGAACCCCUAACGAUCGUAGGCCAGGUGGGCCGUUACCCCGCCUGCUGCCUAAUCGUACGCAUCCCCAUCCAUCGGCGACCGAAGUCUUUCGUGAAAAUCAGAGGCCUUCUUCUCACAACAUCAGGUAUUAGGCUCCCUUUCGGAAGGUUAUUCCUGACCCAUGGGCAGGUUGGAUACGCGUUACUCACCCGUGCGCCGGUCGUCAUCAAAGGAAGCAAGCUUCCUUCAUGCUGCCCCACGACUUGCAUGUGUUAAGCCUGUAGCCAGCGUUCAUC